UACGGAGGAUGCGAGCGUUAUCCGGAUUUAUUGGGUUUAAAGGGUGCGUAGGCGGGCAUUUAAGCCGGCGGUCAAAUGUCGGGGCUCAACCCCGGCCUGCCGUCGGAACUGGGGAUCUAGAGUGUGCGAGAGGUAUGCGGAAUGCGUGGUGUAGCGGUGAAAUGCAUAGAUAUCACGCAGAACCCCGAUUGCGAAGGCAGCAUACCGGCUCCACACUGACGCUGAGGCACGAAAGCGUGGGUAUCGAACAGG
Molecule: ribosomal RNA, 252 nt
Filed under: uncultured Bacteroidales bacterium
Lineage: Bacteria; Pseudomonadati; Bacteroidota; Bacteroidia; Bacteroidales
Description: partial 16S ribosomal RNA
Rfam family: Bacterial small subunit ribosomal RNA
Source: RNAcentral